GCCGUACAUGGCAAGACCCUUCUUAUCCAGCUCGUUGAAGUGAUCCCAGGUCGCCCAGUGCGGCACGAGAUUGGAGUUGGCGAUCAGCACCCGCGGAGCAUCCUUGUGCGUGCGGAAGACGCCGACCGGCUUGCCGGACUGGACGAGGAGGGUCUCG
This 157-nucleotide small RNA is filed under the name Sinorhizobium meliloti 2011. Its description in RNAcentral is "putative ncRNA". The record is from RNAcentral. Lineage: Bacteria; Pseudomonadati; Pseudomonadota; Alphaproteobacteria; Hyphomicrobiales; Rhizobiaceae.